UAUGUUUGCCUGGUCGUCGUAAGAGCUUUGCUGAUAUCAUUCAGCGGCCUCAUUCGGCAGGGAACCAUCCAAUAGCAGAAGACAUCCAUGCCAUUUCUUCUGGUAUAGCUUCAGAAAGGACAUGAAGAUUACAAGAGUCUGAUGUAAGUUCGGUGAAUCUUCUGAGGGAGACAGAUUCACUCUGUAUAGAGGCUAUUACUAGUGAAGAUCCUUUUACCUCUGAGUUGAGCUCACAAAGAUCUACCAACACGCAGAAUGAGAGAUCAAAUGCGAGGGUAGGGAGCCGCGAGGACAACAGUCUAUCUGCUUUUGGUGCUUUUGGUCCAUCCUCUGCUGCUUCUAGAAUGUGGGGG
Brassica oleracea var. oleracea is the source of this 353-nucleotide long non-coding RNA. RefSeq lists it as uncharacterized. The transcript has 2 exons. The record is from RefSeq and is a predicted model, not a curated record. Lineage: Eukaryota; Viridiplantae; Streptophyta; Magnoliopsida; Brassicales; Brassicaceae.